UCGCCUCGUCACGAAGGAGUCAUCGCCAUUAGCAUCAUUGGAAUGUCGUUGGAACGGUUGCACCAUAUUUCAAUUGUCUCAGCGUUCGCUCGUCCAUUACAGAACGAAGGAGGAUAUGAUUUUGUGUCGUAAGAGGUUUUUGCUGUUUGUUUCGAGCAGCGGCUACAGUCUUGCGUCCCGUCAGGCCAUGAAAGAACAAAGGAGUGUAUGAUUUUGCGUCGUAAC
Molecule: long non-coding RNA, 225 nt
Organism: Ornithodoros turicata
Lineage: Eukaryota; Metazoa; Arthropoda; Arachnida; Ixodida; Argasidae
Exons: 3
Source: RefSeq, a predicted model, not a curated record